UGAAGCAGAGGGCGGAACAGGCGGCCGCCACCCACCAAUUAUCUGGUGUAGGAGAUGUGGAUUGUCACCCACCUACUUCA
This 80-nucleotide non-coding RNA is filed under the name unclassified sequences. RNAcentral describes it as "skipping-rope RNA". It matches the Rfam family "skipping-rope RNA". From Rfam's summary of the family: Firmicutes, Fusobacteria, AlphaProteobacteria, Spirochaetes. Downstream gene The record is from Rfam by way of RNAcentral.